This 252-nucleotide ribosomal RNA is filed under the name uncultured bacterium. RNAcentral describes it as "partial 16S ribosomal RNA". It matches the Rfam family "Bacterial small subunit ribosomal RNA", at positions 524 to 776 of the family's 1533-position model. The record is from RNAcentral.
UACGUAGGUGGCAAGCGUUGUCCGGAAUUAUUGGGCGUAAAGCGCGCGCAGGCGGUCCCUUAAGUCUGAUGUGAAAGCCCACGGCUCAACCGUGGAGGGUCAUUGGAAACUGGGGGACUUGAGUGCAGAAGAGGAAAGUGGAAUUCAUGUGUAGCGGUGAAAUGCGUAGAGAUGUGGAGGAACACCAGUGGCGAAGGCGACUUUCUGGUCUGUAACUGACGCUGAGGCGCGAAAGCGUGGGGAGCAAACAGG